UGGGGAAUAUUGCGCAAUGGGGGAAACCCUGACGCAGCGACGCCGCGUGAAGGAAGAAGGUCUUCGGAUUGUAAACUUCUUUGGUCGGGGACGAAAAAAAUGACGGUACCCGAUAAAAAAGCCACGGCUAACUACGUGCCAGCAGCCGCGGUAAUACGUAGGUGGCAAGCGUUGUCCGGAAUUACUGGGUGUAAAGGGCGUGUAGGCGGGGAUGCAAGUCAGAUGUGAAACCCCACAGCUUAACUGUGGGCUUGCAUCUGAAACUGUAUUUCUUGAGUGUUGGAGAGGGAAGUGGAAUUCCUAGUGUAGCGGUGAAAUGCGUAGAGAUUAGGAGGAACACCAGUGGCGAAGGCGACUUCCUGGCCAACAACUGACGCUGAGGCGCGAAAGCGUGGGGAGCAAACAGG
This 407-nucleotide ribosomal RNA is filed under the name uncultured bacterium. RNAcentral describes it as "bacterial SSU rRNA". It matches the Rfam family "Bacterial small subunit ribosomal RNA", at positions 355 to 776 of the family's 1533-position model. The record is from RNAcentral.